Long non-coding RNA from Gigantopelta aegis, 343 nucleotides. RefSeq lists it as uncharacterized. The record is from RefSeq and is a predicted model, not a curated record. The transcript has 3 exons. NCBI's taxonomy places the organism in Eukaryota, Metazoa, Mollusca, Gastropoda, Neomphalida, Peltospiridae.
UUAGGUCUAUAAACCUUCGGACUACUGAACCUUCGGAUCAUUGAACCUUCGGACUGUUGAACCUUCGGACUAUAGAGAUGUAACCCCUCCAGCCUUUAGAAGAGAAAUACUCCACGAUGAGGAAGAUUUGUUUGUUGCAGCAGUAUCUUUUACUUCUAAUACUCGGCUGUUCAACGAAUUAUUGUGCUCGUAUUCUUUCAAAGGACAGAACUAUACCAGUAAUUGGUCAGCCACUGACUCUAACAUACAACAAUAAUGAGAUAACAGACAUUACAGAUACAGUUCGUUUCUUUGUGAAUACAUCUAUAGAGGGAGUAUGUUUGAAGAACCACGGAACGUGUGG